CAUAGAGGAACUUCUGUUAAGAGCGCCCACGUCCUGUGGGCAACGCAGAAGUCACCACUUCCUGUGAA
Oceanobacillus oncorhynchi is the source of this 68-nucleotide small RNA. It matches the Rfam family "Bacillaceae-1 RNA". NCBI's taxonomy places the organism in Bacteria, Bacillati, Bacillota, Bacilli, Caryophanales, Bacillaceae. The record is from Rfam.